Molecule: small nucleolar RNA, 106 nt
Filed under: Theobroma cacao (cacao)
Lineage: Eukaryota; Viridiplantae; Streptophyta; Magnoliopsida; Malvales; Malvaceae
Description: Plant small nucleolar RNA R71
Rfam family: Plant small nucleolar RNA R71
About the family: R71 is a member of the C/D box family of snoRNAs containing the C (UGAUGA) and D (CUGA) box motifs. Multiple nearly identical copies of this snoRNA have been identified in Arabidopsis, and it is thought to function as a 2'-O-ribose methylation guide for 18S ribosomal RNA.
Source: Rfam by way of RNAcentral
AGCCCAUGGUGUGGACAUCUUCUAAGAAAUCUCUAAAUCAUUCCUAAGCCUCAUAUAAGGAUUCACCAUCAAAUUGUGUGAAAGAAGUUAUAUCAUUCCUCAACUU